This 292-nucleotide ribosomal RNA is filed under the name uncultured bacterium. Its description in RNAcentral is "partial 16S ribosomal RNA". It matches the Rfam family "Bacterial small subunit ribosomal RNA", at positions 505 to 796 of the family's 1533-position model. The record is from RNAcentral.
GUGCCAGCCGCCGCGGUAAUACGGGGGGGGUAAGCGUUGUUCGGAAUUACUGGGCGUAAAGGGCUCGUAGGCGGCCAACUAAGUCGGACGUGAAAUCCCUCAGCUUAACUGGGGAACUGCGUCCGAUACUGGAUGGCUUGGAUCCGGAAGAGGGAUGCGGAAUUCCAGGUGUAGCGGUGAAAUGCGUAGAUAUCUGGAGGAACACCGGUGGCGAAGGCGGCAUCCUGGGCCGGUAUUGACGCUGAGGAGCGAAAGCUAGGGGAGCAAACGGGAUUAGAAACCCCAGUAGUCC